AACGUACGCUGGCGGCACGCCUAACACAUGCAAGUCGAACGAAGUAGCAAUACUUAGUGGCAGACGGGUGAGUAACAUGUAGGUAUCUGCCCUUUGGCCUGGAAUAACACGAGGAAACUUGUGCUAAUACCGGAUAAGUCUUUACGGAGAAAGCUUUAUGCACCAUUGGAUGAGCCUGCACUUGAUUAGUUUGUUGGUGGGGUAAUGGCCUACCAAGACUGUGAUCAAUAGCUGAUUUGAGAGGAUGAUCAGCCACAUUGGGACUGAGACACGGCCCAAACUCCUACGGGAGGCAGCAGUGGGGAAUCUUGCACAAUGGAGGAAACUCUGAUGCAGCGAUGCCGCGUGAGUGAAGAAGGCCCUUGGGUUGUAAAGCUCUUUCGUCGGGGAAGAAAAUGACUGUACCCGAAUAAGAAGGUCCGGCUAACUUCGUGCCAGCAGCCGCGGUAAUACGAAGGGACCUAGCGUAGUUCGGAAUUACUGGGCUUAAAGAGUUCGUAGGUGGUUGAAAAAGUUAGUGGUGAAAUCCCAGAGCUUAACUCUGGAACUGCCAUUAAAACUUUUCAGCUAGAGUAUGAUAGAGGAAAGCAGAAUUUCUAGUGUAGAGGUGAAAUUCGUAGAUAUUAGAAAGAAUACCAAUUGCGAAGGCAGCUUUCUGGAUCAUUACUGACACUGAGGAACGAAAGCAUGGGUAGCGAAGAGGAUUAGAUACCCUCGUAGUCCAUGCCGUAAACGAUGUGUGUUAGACGUUGGAAAUUUAUUUUCAGUGUCGCAGGGAAACCGAUAAACACACCGCCUGGGGAGUACGACCGCAAGGUUAAAACUCAAAUGAAUUGACGGGGACCCGCACAAGUAGUGGAGCAUGUGGUUUAAUUCGAAGAUACGCGCAGAACCUUACCAACACUUGACAUGUUCGUCGCGACUCUAAGAGAUUAGAGUUUUCGGUUCGGCCGGACGAAACACAGGUGCUGCAUGGCUGUCGUCAGCUCGUGUCGUGAGAUGUUGGGUUAAGUCCCGCAACGAGCGCAACCCUCACUUUUAGUUGCCAUCAUUAAGUUGGGCACUCUGAAAGAACUGCCAGUGAUAAGCUGGAGGAAGGUGGGGAUGACGUCAAGUCCUCAUGGCCCUUACGUGUUGGGCUACACACGAGCUACAAUGGUAUCUACAACAGGAAGCAAGACUGCGAAGUUAAGCAAAUCCCUAAAAGAUACCUCAGUUCGGAUUGCACUCUGCAACUCGAGUGCAUGAAGCUGGAAUUACUAGUAAUCGUGGAUCAGCGUGCCACGGUGAAUGCGUUCCCGGGUCU
RNAcentral lists this ribosomal RNA (1306 nucleotides) under uncultured bacterium. Its description in RNAcentral is "bacterial SSU rRNA". It matches the Rfam family "Bacterial small subunit ribosomal RNA", at positions 28 to 1381 of the family's 1533-position model. The record is from RNAcentral.